GAUGAACGCUAGCGGCGGGCUUAACACAUGCAAGUCGAGGGGCAGCAUAAUGGAUAGCAAUAUCUAUGGUGGCGACCGGCGCACGGGUGCGUAACGCGUAUGCAACCUACCUUUAACAGGGGGAUAACACUGAGAAAUUGGUACUAAUACCCCAUAAUAUCAUAGAAGGCAUCUUUUAUGGUUGAAAAUUCCGAUGGUUAGAGAUGGGCAUGCGUUGUAUUAGCUAGUUGGUGGGGUAACGGCUCACCAAGGCGACGAUACAUAGGGGGACUGAGAGGUUAACCCCCCACACUGGUACUGAGACACGGACCAGACUCCUACGGGAGGCAGCAGUGAGGAAUAUUGGUCAAUGGACGCAAGUCUGAACCAGCCAUGCCGCGUGCAGGAUGACGGCUCUAUGAGUUGUAAACUGCUUUUGUACGAGGGUAAACGCAGAUACGUGUAUCUGUCUGAAAGUAUCGUACGAAUAAGGAUCGGCUAACUCCGUG
Molecule: ribosomal RNA, 488 nt
Filed under: uncultured bacterium
Lineage: Bacteria
Description: partial 16S ribosomal RNA
Rfam family: Bacterial small subunit ribosomal RNA
Source: RNAcentral